UCAGAACUUGCGAUUUAUGACGCAUAUAUAUUGACCAUAUAUAGUACUAGUUUUCAAUUGUUCCAAGAGGUAUUUCCAUGACUCAAUAUUAAUCCUCAUCAAGACCCCAUACAUGAAUUUCUGUCAAUCAACGGUCACGUCCUUUAGAAAUUUAAAUUGGUAAAAUUUCAUCUUGAUUGGGGGAAUUAAAUUAAUUAAUUAAUUAGCAUGUAAAUGGUAUAACGAAAUGUAUCUGAUUUCGAAUUCAAAUAUGUUUAUUCGAAUUUGGAUUUUUGGAUUCCGAAUCUGAAUACCAAAAAUGAUCGAUAUCCGAAAAUUAUCCUGACGGAUUCAGAUAUCUGCAAUAUCCGUCGUUAAAAUCCGAAUUCGGUUGAUAAUUCCUGCAUAUUCAGAUAUCCGAAUAAAUAUAAAUUGACUUCCGGAUAUUGGGAUUUUAGGAUGAUUAAUUGACUAUUAAUUAACUUUAUUAAAGUGUUUUUAUACUUUUAUAAUUUUAUUUUAAGGUUUUUAUAAAAAGGUUAUCGAGCGGACCGAUAUACAUGUCUAAUAAUUAAGGUCCGGUCCAUUAAUUAAUUAAUUAAUUAGUGAGCAGCAAACGGUUAUAUAGAGGUAAUACGGAUUAAGGAAAUAAUUAGCUAGGGUUUAAAUCAAAUGAAAGUGCAAUUAAGAAGCCAUUAAUUUAUUACUCAGUCCUAAAUAUAUAUAUAGAGAGAGGCAUUUAAUGGAUGGAUAAACAUCGAUCAAUCGAACAGCAGAUAUGUUUAUAAUGGUCGAAAAAAGGAAAAAGAAAAGGUUCCAUUUCAUGAGUUCCACCAAUAGACGGCUAGGGUUAAGGCUCAAAUAAUUGCCCUUGUCUUACAUUUGUCGGUGGUACGUUGGAUGAGGAACAGAUGCAGGUCAAUGAUAUAUCUGUGCGUGUGUAUAUAUGGAUGCUAUAACAAGAUCUUAGAACAAAAGCGAAAUCGAUCGGUCGAUAUAUUGACGAUAAGUAGAUGAAACCUGAAGAAGGGCAGUGAAGGAGGAUCGGAGAAAUAGGCGUGUUUUAAAAGAAAUAGAUCGAACAAGCUAAGGACGGAAAAAGGAAGAUAGAAGAAUUGCUCCGCCUGCUCCGUCUCCCACGUGAAG
Molecule: long non-coding RNA, 1125 nt
Filed under: Zostera marina
Lineage: Eukaryota; Viridiplantae; Streptophyta; Magnoliopsida; Alismatales; Zosteraceae
Description: long non-coding RNA (ZMAR_LNC002091)
Source: RNAcentral